Non-coding RNA from Pelobates cultripes (western spadefoot toad), 2316 nucleotides. NCBI's taxonomy places the organism in Eukaryota, Metazoa, Chordata, Amphibia, Anura, Pelobatidae. The record is from the annotation of a GenBank genome assembly.
UUUAAUUAUUCAAGAAAGGCUUUUAUUCACAUCAUUUUGCAUACAUAAACAGUGGGCUUGUUUCAAUAUAAGCUGUUUUACAAUAAUAUUGCAGCAUUACAGUGCAGUAAAGUCAGUCGUGAUAGCAAUACUAUAAUUACAAGUCUAGAAAUCAACGCAUCCAUGAAGUGUACUACAGGUGUCAUAUCUGUAUACAGGCGUUUAUAAUAAUGGGUGCGAAUGCAAUGCAGUUAAAUGUGACAUUGCCGACAGAUAUUUCAAAAUAUGUGGGCAUUUUUAUGAAGAUGUGCUUAAUGAACUCAAGAGUAACGAGUAUAUUAUAUAUGUAAGUCUAUCAGUGCUAACUUUAAGUAUUUAAGUCCAUACUGAUAUCAGUACAGCGGACUUAGAAGCGCGUGUCUUAUAAGGAUUACUAAUAGUCGGUAUGGGGAAGUAUGUAGAUAAAUCGCAUGGUUGCAACUGUGCAUCAGGCCCACCUGCUAUCCAAGUUGUAUGAGCUAUGUAAGUUUUCAGGUUAACCGUUAAAGGCUAGUGUCAGCCCACAGUGUUUCGCUUAUGUAUGUCUGAUUGUUCAUUUUCUUUUGCUCUAUCCUAUUUCCUGUGUGUUUUCCUGCAAUUAUAAAGGGUAUAUUCCAAAAAACUAAAUCAAUUUACAGGGUUACAGUUAUGAACGUUGUGCCUUAACAUGCGGGAAGAAGAAUGCAGUAAAGAAGCAGCAGCUCUUCUGUUUAUCGCCACCUGGGAGCCCCUGGGUUCUUAUGAUUUAUCUUGUGGCAAAAACGGUGUCAUUAACUAUGGCGUAUGGCCUACUCCAUUCUACUGUUAGGCUUUUGUAGCCAUAGCCCAGACUCCAUAUUAAGUUUGUACCAAGUAUAACUCCCUCUAGCGCUCCAGGUAAUCAUGAUGUGAUAAUAUAAGAGAAGGGGAAAUAAAAAAGAUGUGAAGUAUGCCCUCGGGGUUGUGGAGGGGCCUGUGGUAUAGGGCCCUACGUGAAGAUCCCUGGUUAGGUCCUCUUGUGAACCCCAGGGAUCUUGGUCCAAGCACGUGCGGCCAGGUUAUAUAGAUUAAAAAAAAAAAACACAAGUAGGUAAUUAAGGAAAUAAAAUUAAGUAAAAAUAACUUCCUGCUUUAGGUGGGAGCUAUCCUUGCCUGAGUGUGUCACAUAUGAGGUGUAGUAUGAAGCCUCUGCGGGGUCCUGCCUAGUACAUCAACAUCAGGCACCCGUGGGUGCCAACAUAUACAUUAACACCCAGCUCCUGGUAAAGCCCCCCCCCAUGAGCUUCCAGGUAUAGCGAGCACUUGAGGUAACCCAGUCCAUGAGAACCCCCUCUCCUAGAGUCCACUAACUGGACGGCCUCUGCACCUCCACUGUCCCGGUGGAGUCUCAAUAAGUAAGACAGGGUGCCUCCGUGGGCCCCCUCCAUCGCCGACCACUGCUCCUAAGCUUAGUCCAUGCGACCACCGGUCCACUGCAGCCCCCCACAGACCAGCCCGGCCGGGCUCGCACCAACGGGAAGCAACAUUCUCCAGGUCUCCGGAUCUUCUAGAGAUGGAGGUCACUCCUGUCCGACGCUAGACAGUCCGGUAACCAUGAUGCCACUGCAUGUCGGCAGUCCUCUCGGCGCUCCUGAGUGAUUUCUGGGCGGACUCCUGGAUGAGUGUGUUAGUAGUCGUUUAAUCCGGUCCGUGACAAGCCAAGUAGGGGGCUCCACAAUGUAUGUCUUGUCUCCCCUGUAGUGGCUGAGUACAUACUGGCAGAGCUGCACUAACGUCCCACAAUUGCAGGCUGGUAACCGCAAGCCUGUAUAUGAAAACUUGCAUCUUCAAAACAGGAAACAAUUUAACAGGUAACUGGGAUGACCCUCCAGAUCCUGGGGGGGGGUGCGGGGCCGCAGCGUGCUCUCUCCGGUCACCUCUUGCACGUUAGGAGAGGCAGGCGCUUUCAUAUCAUGCUCGUUCACUGAGCAUGUGCAGAGUGCUUCCAGGCACAGCAAUAGGCCUCAGGUUCAUGCCAUCAUGUAGGCCCGAGUUUUCAGCUUCCUCACUUUUGUAAGAUCUGCAGCCGCUGGUUGGUCUCUUUGUGAUGCUGGCAGGUUACUCAAUUCAGAUAUCUUAAUUUUGAAGGGUUAAUAGUCAGUUUGUGGGCAGAAAAUCAGUGUUUAUUCAGGCUUAGGACCGGAGCUGCAUGAUAUGGCUCCACGGUCCAGCCCCGCCCCCUACAUUUUAUUUAAAGUUUGUUUCACUUCUCUUUUUUUAGUUAUUUUUUUCAAAUGAUGUUUGAUGCCUGGAAACAUUUAUCCUAUAUUUAGCAUUGAG